CAGCGGCCCUAGUGGUGAUCGUUAUUAUUGGGCCUAAAGCGUCCGUAGCCGGUUCGGUAAAUCUCUGGGUAAAUCGUUGGGCUUAACUCAACGAAUUCUGGGGAGACUGCCGAACUUGGGACCGGGGGAGGUCGGAGGUACUCCAGGGGUAGGGGUGAAAUCCUGUAAUCCUUGGGGGACCACCGGUGGCGAAAGCGUCCGACCAGAACGGGUCCGACGGUAAGGGACGAAGCCCUGGGGCGCGAACCGGAUUAGAUACCCGAGUAGUCC
This 270-nucleotide ribosomal RNA is filed under the name uncultured archaeon. RNAcentral describes it as "partial 16S ribosomal RNA". It matches the Rfam family "Archaeal small subunit ribosomal RNA", at positions 477 to 747 of the family's 1478-position model. The record is from RNAcentral.